GCCACCGAAACGACUGUUUUCUCUCCCACCACCACCCCGUCCAUUGUGAAUCCAUCAGAUAGAGGCUGACAGAAGCACCCACCUGUCUGGAGGCUAUGCAGAGGAGAUGGAUCCUGUGCAUUUUGAGCAACAGAUAACCCCUAGUGAGGGUAGAAGUCACUGGCACCAGUCUCCCUGCAUAUAUAGUAUCUCACUGAGCCACGCAUGGCGCUCCCAGGGACCUAGAAUAGCCCCUGCCUGGGCUGACUGGCUCUGCAUUGUUGGAAAAUGACCAGUAAGUAAGCAUCUCACUGUUAGUCAACACCUGUUGUUUAUGAAGCAUGUGACAAAUACAAUUUUAUUUGAUUGAUUUCAUCUCAUUCCCAGCCAAUAAUGAGCCACACUAAUGAGCAGGCCGGCCGGCCGCCCUGCAUGCUUCCAUUAAGCAGUGCUGUGAUUCAUGCUCGGUUCUGCAGGAAAUCAUCAUGCCCAAUGCAUUGUGGGUCCAGAGAUGAACUGAUGAAGUCUUUUUAUGGUAUCAGGGAGAUUUGAUCUAU
This 536-nucleotide long non-coding RNA is filed under the name Oncorhynchus kisutch (coho salmon). Its description in RNAcentral is "lncRNA (ENSOKIG00005028943.1)". The record is from RNAcentral. Lineage: Eukaryota; Metazoa; Chordata; Actinopteri; Salmoniformes; Salmonidae.